This 402-nucleotide ribosomal RNA is filed under the name uncultured microorganism. Its description in RNAcentral is "bacterial SSU rRNA". It matches the Rfam family "Bacterial small subunit ribosomal RNA", at positions 9 to 407 of the family's 1533-position model. The record is from RNAcentral.
GAGUUUGAUCGUGGCUCAGAUUGAACGCUGGCGGCAUGCCUUACACAUGCAAGUCGAACGGCAGCAUGAUCUAGCUUGCUAGAUUGAUGGCGAGUGGCGAACAGGUGAGUAAUACAUCGGAACGUGCCCUGUAGUGGGGGAUAACUAGUCGAAAGAUUAGCUAAUACCGCAUACGACCUGAGGGUGAAAGUGGGGGACCGCAAGGCCUCAUGCUAUAGGAGCGGCCGAUGUCUGAUUAGCUAGUUGGUGGGGUAAAGGCCCACCAAGGCGACGAUCAGUAGCUGGUCUGAGAGGACGAUCAGCCACACUGGGACUGAGACACGGCCCAGACUCCUACGGGAGGCAGCAGUGGGGAAUUUUGGACAAUGGGCGAAAGCCUGAUCCAGCAAUGCCGCGUGUGUG